Molecule: ribosomal RNA, 475 nt
Filed under: uncultured bacterium
Lineage: Bacteria
Description: bacterial SSU rRNA
Rfam family: Bacterial small subunit ribosomal RNA
Source: RNAcentral
CUCUGUGACUCCUACGGGAGGCAGCAGGUGGGAAUAUUGCACAAGUGGGGGAAACCCUGAUGCAGCCAUGCCGCGUGUGUGUAAGAAGGCCUUCGGGUUGUAAAGCACUUUCAGUAGGGAGGAAGGUAGUGUAGUUAACACCUGCAUUAUUUGACGUUACCUACAGAAGAAGCACCGGCUAACUCCGUGCCAGCAGCCGCGGUAAUACGGAGGGUGCGAGCGUUAAUCGGAAUUACUGGGCGUAAAGCGCAUGCAGGCGGCCUGUUAAGUCAGAUGUGAAAGCCCGGGGCUUAACCUCGGAAUUGCAUUUGAAACUGGCAGGCUAGAGUCUUGUAGAGGGGGUAGAAUUUCAGGUGUAGCGGUGAAAUGCGUAGAGAUCUGAAGGAAUACCAGUGGCGAAGGCGGCCCCCCUGGACAAAGACUGACGCUCAGAUGCGAAAGCGUGGGGAGCAAACAGGAUUAGAUACCCUGGUAA